Molecule: ribosomal RNA, 253 nt
Filed under: uncultured bacterium
Lineage: Bacteria
Description: partial 16S ribosomal RNA
Rfam family: Bacterial small subunit ribosomal RNA
Source: RNAcentral
GACGAACCGUGCAAACGUUGUUCGGAAUCACUGGGCUUAAAGGGCGCGUAGGCGGGCCAGCCAGUCUGUGGUGAAAGCCCCCGGCUUAACCGGGGAAGUGCCGUGGAUACUGCUGGCCUCGAGGAGGGUAGGGGCAUCUGGAACGGUCGGUGGAGCGGUGAAAUGCGUUGAUAUCGACCGGAACUCCGGUGGCGAAGGCGAGGUGCUGGACCCUUUCUGACGCUGAUGCGCGAAAGCCAGGGGAGCAAACGGG